UAAAAGGUAGUAUAAUUUGGUAGUACAUAAGGUUUUGAGCCUUAAUUGUGUAGGUUCGUGUCCUAUUCUUUUAG
Molecule: transfer RNA, 74 nt
Filed under: Eublepharis macularius
Lineage: Eukaryota; Metazoa; Chordata; Lepidosauria; Squamata; Eublepharidae
Description: tRNA-Gln
Rfam family: tRNA
About the family: Transfer RNA (tRNA) molecules are approximately 80 nucleotides in length. Their secondary structure includes four short double-helical elements and three loops (D, anti-codon, and T loops).
Source: RNAcentral